This 484-nucleotide ribosomal RNA is filed under the name uncultured bacterium. RNAcentral describes it as "partial 16S ribosomal RNA". It matches the Rfam family "Bacterial small subunit ribosomal RNA", at positions 29 to 507 of the family's 1533-position model. The record is from RNAcentral.
AUUGAACGCUGGCGGCAUGCUUUACACAUGCAAGUCGAACGGCAGCGCGGGCUUCGGCCUGGCGGCGAGUGGCGAACGGGUGAGUAAUGCAUCGGAACGUGCCCAGUAGUGGGGGAUAGCCCGGCGAAAGCCGGAUUAAUACCGCAUACGACCUGAGGGUGAAAGCGGGGGACCGAAAGGCCUCGCGCUAUUGGAGCGGCCGAUGUCGGAUUAGCUAGUUGGUGGGGUAAAGGCUUACCAAGGCGACGAUCCGUAGCUGGUCUGAGAGGACGACCAGCCACACUGGGACUGAGAAACGGCCCAGACUCCUACGGGAGGCAGCAGUGGGGAAUUUUGGACAAAGGGGGCAACCCUGAUCCAGCCAUGCCGCGUGCGGGAAGAAGGCCUUCGGGUUGUAAACCGCUUUUGUUCGGGAAGAAAUCCUCUGGGCUAAUACCCCGGGGGGAUGACGGUACCGGAAGAAUAAGCACCGGCUAACUACGUG